This is a long non-coding RNA of Capsicum annuum, 951 nucleotides long. RefSeq lists it as uncharacterized. Lineage: Eukaryota; Viridiplantae; Streptophyta; Magnoliopsida; Solanales; Solanaceae. The record is from RefSeq and is a predicted model, not a curated record. The transcript has 3 exons.
AUCCGCGUAUCUCCAAAAAUAAUCUCCUUUCUCUUUUCUCUCCCUUUUAUGUCAAUUGACAAAAGGGAAUCACUUAAUAUCAAUUGAAAAGGGUGUCAAUCGGUCAAUUUCGAAUCUAAAUUAGAGAGAGAUCCACUAAGGAUACAAACAAGUGCUAGAAAGUGAGCUAGCAGCUAUCUGGAAUAUGAAUAAUCUAGCGUGGAUGGAUGUAUGAUAGGUUGGAUGACCGAGGGGAUAUAAACUCUAGAUCUGUUACUGGUGUGAAUAACUUUAUUCAGUUUGCAUGUUCUCAAUAAAAUUGUAUGAGUGGUAACAACAUUAGAUGUCCAUGUAAAAAAAUAUCGCAACAUUAAAUACAAGGAUGUUGAAACUAUUAGAUAUCACCUUCUUCAUGAUGGAUUUGUUAAGGACUAUUUUUUUUGGAAACAUCAAGGGAAAAUACAUGUGAUCGAUGAGAUUUCUUUCGGAAAUGAUUUGAUCAAUGGUGCUCAACUUGAAUUGGGAUAUGAUAAUCCAUAUCGACAAAUGAUUUUGGAUGUUGCUGGUCCCAACUUUAACCAUGGUUCGAGUUAGUAACCUUACAACAAUGUUGAAUAUGGGCCAUCUCAUCCGUAUGAACCUUCAAUUGAGGAGCAACAUGAAACUUCAAUGGAGGAGGAGCCUAAUUUAGAGUACCAAAGAUUUUAUGAAUUGUUGUACUAUGCUGAUGCAAAAUUGUAUCCUGGUUCCUCCCUCUCUCAACUUGUAGUAAUCUCUCAAAUGUUAUAUAUUAAGUUGGAAAAUACUAUGUCACAGAGGGGUUUUAACCAAAUGAUGUAAUUGUUUAAAGAGGCUUUACCGGAAGAUCACCUACUAGUUGAUAGUUAUUAUCAGACUAAGAAGUUAGUGCGUAGCUUAGGUUUACCGGUUGAAAAGAUUAACUAUUGUGAAUCAAGAUGUAUGUUGUAUUAU